AGACAAACAUCUGCUCACCUCAUACAGACACUCAUUCAGACUUGAAUAUCUCUAUCUCACUGAAUAUCUUUAUCUCACUGAAUAUCUUUAUCUCACUGAAUAUCUUUAUCUCACUGUGUUAGAUCAUCUGGUUCUGCUUGUGACAAGGGGGUGUUCCAUACAGGGUGGUGCGUAACACAUGCAGCAGAUCGUUAGUACGUAUUUUGGGCCACCGGGAGGAAUAAAGGAAUGAGCUAUGAAGGAGUGGCAUUCUAUGGCAGCCUAAUCGGAAUAACACUGUGGCUUCUUGUUCAUUGUUUUGAUUUAGAUCAGAAGCAGAAAAACAGCUCAAGGCUCCCAUUCUCAUACACCCCCCCCCCCCCUGCCAGUCACUGGCUAUGAUGUGGACCUCCUUCUUCAGCUACCAUGAGGGACUCUGCCAGGGUGCUGCUCGGUCGGGCCUCCGAAGACAAGGAGGACCCUUCCAAGCACGGAAACCCGAGCUCUCCCGUUACGUCUGUAACUAUUCAGGCAAGCAGUCAGCUGAUAGGAGGCGACAAAUAAAAGUUUCAUGAACAGGCUUUCAUUCUGGGGGACAGAGGCAUCAUCCCUUUAGGAAAUGUUAAGUUGAAUGCAACAUGUUGGUUUGAAAAAAGGUUAAUCAGUGAUUAGUGUAAACAGACCAUACAGAUGUGGGGCAUUAAAGCGUACAACCAUUA
Long non-coding RNA from Electrophorus electricus (electric eel), 698 nucleotides. RefSeq lists it as uncharacterized. NCBI's taxonomy places the organism in Eukaryota, Metazoa, Chordata, Actinopteri, Gymnotiformes, Gymnotidae. The record is from RefSeq and is a predicted model, not a curated record.